UACCCAUGAUGUGGCCACUUCAAGAGUAACCCAUUGAAUCGCUCUCAUGUUUCGAAAAAUUGCUCAUCUUCUCUCUGGGUAAACUCUGAGAUUUCCCUGGGAA
RNAcentral lists this small nucleolar RNA (103 nucleotides) under Citrus sinensis (sweet orange). RNAcentral's name for it is "Plant small nucleolar RNA R71". It matches the Rfam family "Plant small nucleolar RNA R71". From Rfam's summary of the family: R71 is a member of the C/D box family of snoRNAs containing the C (UGAUGA) and D (CUGA) box motifs. Multiple nearly identical copies of this snoRNA have been identified in Arabidopsis, and it is thought to function as a 2'-O-ribose methylation guide for 18S ribosomal RNA. Lineage: Eukaryota; Viridiplantae; Streptophyta; Magnoliopsida; Sapindales; Rutaceae. The record is from Rfam by way of RNAcentral.